GUAUCUUAGUGGAUGAUCACUUGGUUCAUGUCAAUGAAUGUAGCUUGCUGUGAAAAUUAAUGUAAAUUGUAGGACACAUUGAUCAUUGACACUUCAAAGGCACUUACAGCCCAGGGUUCCUCCUGAGGCUUAUUUUUAAAAUGGGAUA
RNAcentral lists this ribosomal RNA (148 nucleotides) under Castor canadensis (American beaver). Its description in RNAcentral is "5.8S ribosomal RNA (ENSCCNG00000002825.1)". It matches the Rfam family "5.8S ribosomal RNA". Rfam says of the family: 5.8S ribosomal RNA (5.8S rRNA) is a component of the large subunit of the eukaryotic ribosome. It is transcribed by RNA polymerase I as part of the 45S precursor that also contains 18S and 28S rRNA. Lineage: Eukaryota; Metazoa; Chordata; Mammalia; Rodentia; Castoridae. The record is from Rfam by way of RNAcentral.